CCCAGCUGUAACUGCCUAGGCUGCCUCGUACCUAGGCAAGCAUUACACUGCUGGGAGAAAAGCAGCUAAUAGCUGCCAGGCAUUCUGGGCCUAGUUAAUGCCAAGUUUGUGUUAACUAAACCAAUGUGCCAGCAUA
Ochotona princeps (American pika) is the source of this 136-nucleotide small nucleolar RNA. Its record names the gene SNORA74. It matches the Rfam family "Small nucleolar RNA SNORA74". From Rfam's summary of the family: U19 belongs to the H/ACA class of snoRNAs. snoRNAs bind a number of proteins (including dyskerin, Gar1p and Nop10p in the case of the H/ACA class) to form snoRNP complexes. This class are thought to guide the sites of modification of uridines to pseudouridines by forming direct base pairing interactions with substrate RNAs. Targets may include ribosomal and spliceosomal RNAs but the exact functions of many snoRNAs, including U19, are not confirmed. NCBI's taxonomy places the organism in Eukaryota, Metazoa, Chordata, Mammalia, Lagomorpha, Ochotonidae. The record is from Ensembl.